AAAAUAAUAAUCAUGUACCAAGAAAAAAAACAUUUGAAUUGGUCGGCAAUAAUCAUCAGAAAUAACCCAUCAUCAACAUCAUCAACAUCGAAAAUCUUCCUACUUAAAAGCAUAUAUGCUAAUAAUAUCAAACAAGGUGAACAUGAAAAAAAAUCCUUAUCAAUGCCAAAUAUCUUUAUCAAUCGUAAUCGAAUGGCCUACAAUUCCUGAACAACAAUCAUUCUGCGUAUGUAUUGAAUUGUUAUUGUCAAGUUUAAUUUAUUCACAAAAAAAUGGUGAUCAUCCUAUUCGAUUGGCAAUCAAAAAACUACAACGAUGACGAUGAUGAGACCAAACCAAAACAAAAAAAACGAAAAGAACAUGCAUCGUUUUUUUCCAAUUUAUCCAAUCAUUAAUGACGAUAUUUACAACAACAACCACAAUCAAUGUUUCUCAAAUAAAAUGGUACAUGGUACAUAAUGAUGAACAUUAUUAAAAUCCAUUCAUUAACCGUUUUUUAAAAGAAAUUAUGGCCGAUGGGCAAUAUGCUGCUCUUUGAUUUUCAAUUAAUUUGUACUCAAAAUAUUGCACUUCAUUCAUUCUAUAUGUUUAUUAUCAUUAUCAUU
Molecule: long non-coding RNA, 605 nt
Organism: Dermatophagoides farinae (American house dust mite)
Lineage: Eukaryota; Metazoa; Arthropoda; Arachnida; Sarcoptiformes; Pyroglyphidae
Source: RefSeq, a predicted model, not a curated record